Pongo abelii (Sumatran orangutan) is the source of this 1787-nucleotide long non-coding RNA. Lineage: Eukaryota; Metazoa; Chordata; Mammalia; Primates; Hominidae. The record is from Ensembl.
CUGUCCUGCUGGGAAAAGCUGCAUCCACCAGUGACAUGCUGCUCAAACUGGCCCAGGACACACUCUUACUACCUAAGAAAUAAGCCCCACAUUUGCUCUUUGUGGGUAAAAGGAGAGGGUGAGAGAGGAGGGGAGUGUCCGCACAGACAUGAGAAGCCUGCAGAUCCAGAUGAUCCCUUGCUGAUCAGAAUAAGAAAGAUCGACUUGUGAAAACAAUGACCCCGCAGCAGAUGAGCUUCUAAAGCAGGCUUCAACCAUGCAUCAUCUGGACCCACUGGUGGAGAAGUCUGCCCCGACUCUGUUGAUGGUCUGGGGGAUACCAUUACUGAGACAGAUUUAAGAAAUAAUCUCUACCAGUUGGCGAGAUCUGGAUGGUGACUUGUGCGAGACAGCAGUGUGCUCUCAUCAGCUUUCCACAGGGCAGGCUGUGGAAAUGGUGCUGAGAAGUCCUUUUGUAAAUUGAUUGUCCAUGGCUGUAGACUUACCAUCAAAUGGAAGAAGAUUCCAAGCUCUCAAAGAAAAGGAAAAAAGAGAAGGAUGGAACCACAGACUCUGGGAUCCUGCCAGAGCCUAUUUCAGUGCUGCCAGGAGCUCCUCCUCCGCCUGCAGCUCUGGUCCCCACCUUGGAGCCUCCUUCCAAGGAGCUCAGUUCCAGGAAUGCUGAGAAGUGCCCAGUACAGCGAGGAUGCACCUGGAGCCCAUCCUGUCUAAUGGACUGACCAUCCUGCAUCCACCUGCCUCUCCUGCAUAUCGGCCACCACCGCUUCCCUUUUUCUCAUUUCUCCAUCGUGUCUGACCCAGAGUCUGCGACCCUCUCUCCAGCCCCAGUGGCCCUUCUUUUCCCUUGUCCUGUCAGAGCCCCUGAUCAAGACUCCCCAGAUCCAUCCACAUGCCUGGCUUGUCCACUUACUAAUUGUGUUGCUCUGCACUGCCGGGGUGGCACCAGAGGCAAUGAGGGUGACUGAGGGCCCCACAGGUGGCCAGCUUUGCCGUUUACCCCAUCCCUAGCCUCAGGGGGUUCUCAUGGCUGUCAGCCAGCGGCCCUGGCUUGGGGCACCUGGCUGUCCUCCUCCCACUGUUCUGACUCAGCCUCGCCCACCUGUCCUCUGUCCGUGGUGCUGACCAAGCCAGCAGGUAGCAGGUCCCCACAGGGUGCUGCUGGGCUUUGGGGACCCACCGAGGCUCCUCUGCUGAGGGUUCCCAGGUGAGUCGCUGCCCCUGGUUCUACAUCAUCUGCUGUCCUCUUCAGCAUCAUCCACCCCACCCCAGGCCGGCUCCAUGCAGGUGCAUCCCCGAGUCACCAGUCUCAGGGCCCUCUGUUGUAGGAUGGAGAUUACUGUACCUUUUGUACACAUUCAUAUUUAUUGUGUGAAAUAAAGUAUAGAAGCUAAAGUAAAUGAGGACUUUGGUUUGCAUUUUCCUGAUGAUCACUGAUGUUGAGCACUUGUUAGCCAUUUUUAUAUAUUUUUUAAAAGAUAAAUAUCUAUUCAGGUUCUUUGCUUGUUUUUAAAUCAGGUUAUUAGAUUUUGGUGAGUUUUCUCUCUUCUUUUCUAUUCAGUUGUGUGGCUUCUUAUGUAUUUUGAUUUUCACCCCUUAUGAGAUAUAUUGUUAGCAAAUAUUUUCUCUGAGGUUAUAAGCUGCUUUUUAAUUUCAUUGAUUGAUUUCUCCUGUGCAGAAGCUUUAGGGUUAGAUAUACUCCUACUUGUAUUUUUGUUUUUUGUUGCUUGUGUUUUUAAUGUCGUAUUUAAUAAAUUAUUAUCUGAACCAAUGUCAAGGAGCAUUUGCCC